UUCCGUUUGAUACCCAGCAGUAGCGAUA
Molecule: small RNA, 28 nt
Filed under: Bombyx mori (domestic silkworm)
Lineage: Eukaryota; Metazoa; Arthropoda; Insecta; Lepidoptera; Bombycidae
Description: ovarian small RNA-37249
Source: RNAcentral